Molecule: ribosomal RNA, 253 nt
Filed under: uncultured bacterium
Lineage: Bacteria
Description: partial 16S ribosomal RNA
Rfam family: Bacterial small subunit ribosomal RNA
Source: RNAcentral
UACGAAGGGGGCUAGCGUUGCUCGGAAUCACUGGGCGUAAAGGGUGCGUAGGCGGGGUUUUAAGUCAGGGGUGAAAUCCUGGAGCUCAACUCCAGAACUGCCUUUGAUACUGAAGAUCUUGAGUUCGGGAGAGGUGAGUGGAACUGCGAGUGUAGAGGUGAAAUUCGUAGAUAUUCGCAAGAACACCAGUGGCGAAGGCGGCUCACUGGCCCGAUACUGACGCUGAGGCACGAAAGCGUGGGGAGCAAACAGG